GACGUACGCUGGCGGCGUGCUUAACACAUGCAAGUCGAACGGAAAGGCCCUGCUUUUGUGGGGUGCUCGAGUGGCGAACGGGUGAGUAGCACGUGAGUAACCUGCCCUUGACUUUGGGAUAACUUCAGGAAACUGGGGCUAAUACCGGAUAGGAGCUCCUGCUGCAUGGUGGGGGUUGGAAAGUUUCGGCGGUUGGGGAUGGACUCGCGGCUUAUCAGCUUGUUGGUGGGGUAGUGGCUUACCAAGGCUUUGACGGGUAGCCGGCCUGAGAGGGUGACCGGCCACAUUGGGACUGAGAUACGGCCCAGACUCCUACGGGAGGCAGCAGUGGGGAAUAUUGCACAAUGGGCGGAAGCCUGAUGCAGCAACGCCGCGUGCGGGAUGACGGCCUUCGGGUUGUAAACCGCUUUCGCCUGUGACGAAGCGUGAGUGACGGUAAUGGGUAAAGAAGCACCGGCUAACUACGUG
This 468-nucleotide ribosomal RNA is filed under the name uncultured bacterium. Its description in RNAcentral is "partial 16S ribosomal RNA". It matches the Rfam family "Bacterial small subunit ribosomal RNA", at positions 28 to 507 of the family's 1533-position model. The record is from RNAcentral.